GACGAACGCUGGCGGUGUGCUUAACACAUGCAAGUCGAACGGUAAGGCCCUUUCGGGGGUACACGAGUGGCGAACGGGUGAGUAACACGUGAGUAACCUGCCCUCAUCUCUGGGAUAACAGUCGGAAACGGUUGCUAAUACUGGAUAUGAGCUUGCAAGGCAUCUUGUGGGUUGGAAAGAUUUUUUUUGGUUGGGGAUGGACUCGCGGCCUAUCAGCUUGUUGGUGAGGUAGUGGCUCACCAAGGCUUCGACGGGUAGCCGGCCUGAGAGGGCGACCGGCGACAUUGGGACUGAGAUACGGCCCAAACUCCUACGGGAGGCAGCAGUGGGGAAUAUUGCACAAUGGACGGAAGUCUGAUGCAGCAACGCCGCGUGCGGGAUGACGGCCUUCGGGUUGUAAACCGCUUUCAAUUGUGACGAAGCUUUUUUGUGACGGUAGCAGUAGAAGAAGCACCGGCUAACUACGUG
Molecule: ribosomal RNA, 468 nt
Filed under: uncultured bacterium
Lineage: Bacteria
Description: partial 16S ribosomal RNA
Rfam family: Bacterial small subunit ribosomal RNA
Source: RNAcentral